This 254-nucleotide ribosomal RNA is filed under the name uncultured bacterium. RNAcentral describes it as "partial 16S ribosomal RNA". It matches the Rfam family "Bacterial small subunit ribosomal RNA", at positions 524 to 776 of the family's 1533-position model. The record is from RNAcentral.
UACGAAGGGGGCUAGCGUUGCUCGGAAUCACUGGGCGUAAAGCGCACGUAGGCGGCUUGUUAAGUCAGGGGUGAAAUCCUGGAGCUCAACUCCAGAACUGCCUUUGAUACUGGCAAGCUUGGAGUCCGGGAGAGGUGAGUGGAACUCCGAGUGUAGAGGUGAAAUUCGUAGAUAUUCGGAAGAACACCAGUGGCGAAGGCGACUAACUGGACAUGUAUUGACGCUGAGGUGCGAAAGCGUGGGGAGCAAACAGG